CCCGGCGUGGUGUAAUGGUUCAACAUCGCUGUCUUUCAGGCGUUGAUCACAGCAGCUCGGGGUUCGAUUCCCCGCGCCGGAA
Molecule: non-coding RNA, 82 nt
Organism: Favolaschia claudopus
Lineage: Eukaryota; Fungi; Basidiomycota; Agaricomycetes; Agaricales; Mycenaceae
Source: the annotation of a GenBank genome assembly